GACGAACGCUGGCGGCGCGCUUAACACAUGCAAGUCGAACGGAAAGGCCUGCUUUCCCUUGUGGAUUGCGGGUACUCGAGUGGCGAACGGGUGAGUAACACGUGAGUGAUCUGCCCCCAACUUGGGUAUAAGCCUGGGAAACUGGGUCUAAUUCCCGAUAGGACUGCAGGGUGGUGCCUGUGGUGGAAAACGAUUUUCUAGUGGUUGGGGAUGAGCUCGCGGCCUAUCAGCUUGUUGGUGGGGUAAUGGCCUACCAAGGCGGCGACGGGUAGCCGGCCUGGGAGGGUGGACGGCCACAGUGGGACUGAGAUACGGCCCAGACUCCUACGGGAGGCAGCAGUGGGGAAUAUGGCACAAUGGGCGGAAGCCUGAGGCAGCGACGCCGCGGGGGGGAUGACGGCCUUCGGGUGGUAAACUCCUUUCGACCGCGAGGAAGCCACCUGGUUGGAAGGGUGGUGACGGUAGUGGUAGAAGAAGCACCGGCUAACUACGUG
RNAcentral lists this ribosomal RNA (494 nucleotides) under uncultured bacterium. Its description in RNAcentral is "partial 16S ribosomal RNA". It matches the Rfam family "Bacterial small subunit ribosomal RNA", at positions 28 to 507 of the family's 1533-position model. The record is from RNAcentral.